UAUGGUGAUUAUAGCGGUGAGGUCCACCUCUUCCCAUUCCGAACAGAGAAGUUAAGCUCACCAGCGCCGAUGAUACUGCAGCAAUGUGGAAAAGUAGGUCGUCGCCAGAU
RNAcentral lists this ribosomal RNA (110 nucleotides) under Bacteroidales bacterium. The record is from RNAcentral. Lineage: Bacteria; Pseudomonadati; Bacteroidota; Bacteroidia; Bacteroidales.